RNAcentral lists this ribosomal RNA (426 nucleotides) under uncultured prokaryote. RNAcentral's name for it is "bacterial SSU rRNA". It matches the Rfam family "Bacterial small subunit ribosomal RNA", at positions 355 to 774 of the family's 1533-position model. The record is from RNAcentral.
UCGAGAAUUUUUCACAAUGGGCGCAAGCCUGAUGGAGCGACGCCGCGUGGGGGAUGAAUGGCUUCGGCCCGUAAACCCCUGUCAUUUGCGAUCAACCGUUGUUGUUUAAGAGAUGACAACCUGAUAGUAGCGAAAGAGGAAGGGACGGCUAACUCUGUGCCAGCAGCCGCGGUAAUACAGAGGUCCCAAGCGUUGUUCGGAUUAACUGGGCGUAAAGGGUGCGUAGGCGGUUGGACAAGUCUGACGUGAAAUCCCGGAGCUUAACUCUGGAACGGCGUCGGAAACUGUCUGGCUAGAGGGUUGGAGGGGGGACUGGAAUACUUGGUGUAGCAGUGAAAUGCGUAGAUAUCAAGUGGAACACCAGUGGCGAAGGCGAGUCCCUGGACAACUCCUGACACUGAGGCACGAAAGCUAGGGUAGCAAACA